Molecule: unclassified non-coding RNA, 1411 nt
Filed under: Hevea brasiliensis (rubber tree)
Lineage: Eukaryota; Viridiplantae; Streptophyta; Magnoliopsida; Malpighiales; Euphorbiaceae
Source: RNAcentral
CAAAAUGCAAGCUUAGGUCCAGUUCCCAUGGGAGCCAUGCAGCCUGGCUCUGCACUAAUUCAUGGUCUUGGUUCUGGAUUUCUCCCAAGACGUAUUGACAUACAAAUUCGAAGAGGUUCACCAAGUACGGCAUCAAAUGGCAGUCCAGAGGAACGCAGUGGAGCUCAACAGCCUUCAGGGCAACAAGAAGCAGCCAGAGGUGUGGGUGAAAAUCCCACCAAUCAAGCAACCACUAGGAUUGUAGAGGGCCCAAGUGUGGGAGGAGAAUCUGGAGUGCGAGUAGUGCCAAUUAGGACCAUGGUUGCAGCAUUACCUGGACCCUUUAGCCGCUUACCUUCAAAUUCUUCGGGUAAUUCAUUUGGGUUAUACUAUCCUGUUCUUGGAAGAUUUCCUCACCCUGCUUCAGGAAAUGCAAGGGCCGAGCGAGGAAGUCAAGCUUCAUCAGAGCGUCAGUCUACUGGCCUCCAGAGUGAGCAACAUACAAUUCUUGAAUCUGUCGUGGAACAGCAAAAUGUAGAAGAUGCUGCAAGAGAUGGUGGGGCCCAAGAUACCCUAGAAUCUGAACGACAAGUUCCCAGCAAUGUUGUCCAAUUUCUUCGGACUCUCUUUCCCAGUGGUGAAAUCAACAUCGAAGAUGCCAGUUUCCAGGAGAUUAGUGGUUCUAUUCCUGCUCAUCAUUCAAUGGCAUCAAGUUCUGUUGCAAAUGUUCAAGAAUCAGAAUCAAGAACUAGUGAUGAAGGAAUGUUUUUGUCCAACAUAUUUCACCAAAUCAUGCCAUUCACAUCUCAACGAGGCAACGAGCCAGAUAUGUCUUCGGUAGAGGCAAAUGCCUCUGAGCGUCAAAACAUUCCAGAUUCUUCUGCAGAAGCUUCAAAUGGGGAUGCUGAAACAUCUCGCAGACGUGCUGAUGCUGAAGCAGGUGCUCCAAGUUCAAAACGUCAAAAGAAAGAUUGACACAACAAAAUGUGACUAGAGAUUAUGGGAUCUUAAUCUGAAAUUGCACCUUCAAACUUCUGGGAACGGAAAAUUAUCACAAAACAGGAUCAAAUCAACGGUGGAAUUCACUUUACAAGUUGCAAGGAGCACCACAGCAUUCUGCCCUCUGCCAAUUAAGUGUACUAUUUUUCAUUCUCUUUUUUUGCAUUUCUUCAUCCUCCCUUGGCCCCACCCUCCCCAUCACCUUGUACGAUAUGGUGUGACAUUACUAUUUUACGCCUCGCCCCCGUGCCUGGAACCCAAAAUGGAAAAGAAGUAAAAAUGAAAGCAUUCUUCGAAAUUUACAGUGUUCCCAUAUUUGUGAAUGGCCAUAAAACUAUUAGAUCAAAGUCCUUAUAAAGCACAUCUUCUGCUUCUUGAGUUUGUGCUUAAUGGAACUGUGAUUUGGGUUUCAGUCUUCCAUCUGAGAUUGCGG